UAAUGAGCAUCCACAAGACAUGCACACAGCUUUGUAUCGUGUGGUUUUCAUGGAGUUUUUAUUUGACUUAACAGUAGCGUGGGUUGUGGAAUAUGUCACAGCGGAAAUGAAAGAAAAAGUGUGUGCUCAAGGGGAGAAACAUGUCUUCCUGAGAGAUUUAUUAGUUCUCUAAAUAGAUCGGCUUUUACCAUAUUCUUUAGCAGUAUAAAUUGGAAUUUCCUAGGGACUUUUGCUAUGUAACAUUAGCAAAAGUUUGGCAUUUAGCUUACAAAAUUCUGAGAAUGGUGUAUGUUAGCAAAGGUUUGCCAUUUGGCUUGAAAAAACCUACUUAAAAAGUGUAUGCUGUAGGAGCAUGCAGCCCCCCCAUCUUCUCUUACCCUAAUCUCUUCCUUGCCAGGGGUUAAAGCUGCAAUCUGUAUUGCAGUUCAGCGGGUUAUUUCUGGUUCACAACUUUUUGAAGAUACCGGUGGAUAUUUCCAAUAGCGUGGAAGAACGGAUAAACUUUCUUCAGCAUUCAGGGAGCUUUACAUAACUGCAAAAAGUGAUACAAAUAUGGAUGGAAAAAAGCGGAAAGCCAGCUUUAUAGCAUUAUCUCCUGUUCCAGACUUUCCCACACUUUCUCAGUGAAGCUCAGUGCUCAGCUCCCAGAAGGGGGUGGCAGCUCUGAGCAGACAUCUCUAGCAGCAAGCUGUGACACUGGUGACCAGAGCUCAGUAUGUGGCUGUUGAAGUUGCCCCAGGCCCCUUUUAAGAACUGAAAGGUCUCCCUGAAGCCUUCUCUUCUCCAGGCCGAACAACCCCAACUCUCUCAGCUUUUCUUACAGGAGAGGUAUUCCAUUCUCUGAUCAUUUCUGUGUCCCUCCUCUGGACCUGCUCUGACAGGUACGUGUCUUUCCUGUGCUGAGGACUCCAGAGCUGAACACAGUACUGUAGGGGGGGGUCUCACCAGAUCAGAGUAGCUGCAAAUAAAUAUGUAUAUUAAACCACAUUUCUGAACCUUAAUUCAGUAAUUUUGCUAAAAUUUUAUUACCUUCUCAAAUGUAAUGUUUGUUUGCAUCAAAAUGUGAUGCUAGCGCCUACUGUUUACAGCCUGUAUUAAAACAAACAAACAAAUAGCCCUGCAUCUAACACAUGAGGAAGACAAAGACUGCAGUGCCAUUUGGUAGGACUUUUCUGAAGUCUAAAAGCAGUUGCUAUGAAACUCGUUCAUCCACCUAAGAAUUUGUAUUGCUUGUGGUUGAAUAAAAUCUGCAUAAGUCAAGUCAACUGCAAGGAAGAACUGGUGAAGGUAAUAUCCCCAGCGAUCCUUCUGGAGGGGUUACUUGUAAUCCAAACUGCAUUUCUCAUCCUUCUGAUUUACCCCAUUUCAGCAGUCACUCAUGUUGGCACAGUGCAGUAUUUUCAAACCCACAAUGAUCACGUGUAAAUUGCGGCAAAUUACAGCACGAAAUUAGCUGUAUAUUUUUAUCCUUGUGUUUAUUAUGAUUUUUUGAUCCUUCGAAAAAGCACACUGAGGUGGCAUUUCUGUGCUCUUAGGAGAAGGCUGUGAGCAGAAAUAGCCAACUCAUCUGUCUCCCCAGGUAUUUAUACCACAUUCAUCACUGUGCUGUCUGAACAUUUAAUACUAGCCCCUCAAUCUUUCUAAGUGAAAUAACGUCCCAUUAAAGAGGUGUGAAGGAAGCUGAUGCUACCAUGA
This is a long non-coding RNA of Pezoporus occidentalis (night parrot), 1695 nucleotides long. RefSeq lists it as uncharacterized. The record is from RefSeq and is a predicted model, not a curated record. The transcript has 3 exons. NCBI's taxonomy places the organism in Eukaryota, Metazoa, Chordata, Aves, Psittaciformes, Psittacidae.